GAGACUCCCAAUGGAAAUGUUCU
Molecule: small nuclear RNA, 23 nt
Filed under: Arabidopsis thaliana (thale cress)
Lineage: Eukaryota; Viridiplantae; Streptophyta; Magnoliopsida; Brassicales; Brassicaceae
Description: snRNA_14997
Source: RNAcentral